This 449-nucleotide ribosomal RNA is filed under the name uncultured bacterium. RNAcentral describes it as "partial 16S ribosomal RNA". It matches the Rfam family "Bacterial small subunit ribosomal RNA", at positions 29 to 523 of the family's 1533-position model. The record is from RNAcentral.
AACGAACGCUGGCGGCAGGCUUAACACAUGCAAGUCGAGCGCCCUUUUCGGAGGGAGCGGCAGACGGGUGAGUAACACGUGGGAAUCUACCCAUCUCUAGGGAAUAACUCAGGGAAACUUGUGCUAAUACCCUAUACGCCCUUUUGGGGAAAGAUUUAUCGGAGAUGGAUGAGCCCGCGUUGGAUUAGCUAGUUGGUGGGGUAGAGGCCUACCAAGGCGACGAUCCAUAGCUGGUCUGAGAGGAUGAUCAGCCACACUGGGACUGAGACACGGCCCAGACUCCUACGGGAGGCAGCAGUGGGGAAUAUUGGACAAUGGGCGCAAGCCUGAUCCAGCCAUGCCGCGUGAGUGAUGAAGGCCCUAGGGUUGUAAAGCUCUUUCACCGAUGAAGAUAAUGACGGUAGUCGGAGAAGAAGCCCCGGCUAACUUCGUGCCAGCCGCCGCAGUAA